GAUGAAGAACGCAGUGAAAUGCGAUAAGUAGUGUGAAUUGCAGAAUUCCGUGAAUCAUCGAAUCUUUGAACGCACAUUGCGCCCCUUGGUAUUCCGAGGGGCAUGCCUGUUCGAGCGUCAUUAUAACCCCUCAAGCUCAGCUUGGUGUUGGGGCCUGCUGCACUGGCAGCCCUUAAAAUCAGUGGCGGCGCCAUCUGGCUCUAAGCGUAGUAAUUCUUCUCGCUAUGGAGUCCUGGUGGAUGCUUGCCAUCAACCCCCAAUUUUUCUAUGGUUGACCUCGGAUCAGGUAGGGAUACCCGCUGAACUUAAGCAUAUCAAUAAGCGGAGGA
This 329-nucleotide unclassified non-coding RNA is filed under the name soil metagenome. RNAcentral describes it as "partial contains 5.8S ribosomal RNA, internal transcribed spacer 2, and large subunit ribosomal RNA". The stretch from base 1 to 120 matches the Rfam family "5.8S ribosomal RNA", at positions 35 to 154 of the family's 154-position model. The record is from RNAcentral.